CAGGUACUAAGUUGCCUCAAGGGCUAGGCUCUAAUUUCAUUCAGAUUACAUAUGAUUCUCAAUUGGUUGUGAACCAAGUGCAUGGAAUUUACAAAGCAAUAGAUGAGAUAACGAUGAGAUACUUAGACAGAGUUAGGGUCUUUUUCUCUAUUCAAGAGGAUACAACAACAACAACAACAACAAACCCAGUGUAUUCCCACCUAGUGGGGUCUGGGGGGGUAAGAUGUACGCAGUCCAUACCUCUACCUCUAAUGAAGUAGAAAGGCUAUUUCCGAUAGACCCCCGGCUCAAGGCACGAGAUACCACACAAACACAUAGUAAAGCACAGAAGCAGAUAACAUAAAUACGGCACCCAUAAGUAAUAUAAAAUAGAGGAAAGUAGAGGAAAGCACACAGAUUCGUAGUAAAACAUGGAACACGG
RNAcentral lists this long non-coding RNA (421 nucleotides) under Capsicum annuum. RNAcentral's name for it is "long non-coding RNA (CANN_LNC013938)". Lineage: Eukaryota; Viridiplantae; Streptophyta; Magnoliopsida; Solanales; Solanaceae. The record is from RNAcentral.